GGACUACACGGGUAUCUAAUCCUGUUUGAUCCCCACGCUUUCGCGCCUCAGCGUCAAUGUCGGUCCAGUUGGCCGCCUUCGCCACGGGUGUUCUUCCCAAUCUCUACGAAUUUCACCUCUACACUGGGAAUUCCACCAACCUCUACCGAAUUCAAGCCAGGCAGUCUCGAGUGCAAUUCCGGGGUUGAGCCCCGGGCUUUCACACCCGACUUGCCAGGCCGCCUACGCGCCCUUUACGCCCAGUAAUUCCGAACAACGCUAGCUCCCUUCGUAUUACCGCGGCUGCUGGCAC
Molecule: ribosomal RNA, 292 nt
Filed under: uncultured bacterium
Lineage: Bacteria
Description: partial 16S ribosomal RNA
Source: RNAcentral